Non-coding RNA from Halocaridina rubra (Hawaiian volcano shrimp), 73 nucleotides. The record is from the annotation of a GenBank genome assembly. NCBI's taxonomy places the organism in Eukaryota, Metazoa, Arthropoda, Malacostraca, Decapoda, Atyidae.
ACCUUCUAUGGUGUAGUUGGUUGUGCCUUGGCUUAGUAAUCAUAAGUCCCAGGUUCAAGUCCCGGUUGGGGUA